Dipodomys ordii (Ord's kangaroo rat) is the source of this 65-nucleotide non-coding RNA. The record is from Rfam. Lineage: Eukaryota; Metazoa; Chordata; Mammalia; Rodentia; Heteromyidae.
GGUGGCUUAGUGGUAGAGCGUUUGUCUUGCAUGCAUGAGGCCCUGGGUUCGAUUCCUCAGCACCA